This is a long non-coding RNA of Vigna umbellata (rice bean), 1053 nucleotides long. RefSeq lists it as uncharacterized. The record is from RefSeq and is a predicted model, not a curated record. NCBI's taxonomy places the organism in Eukaryota, Viridiplantae, Streptophyta, Magnoliopsida, Fabales, Fabaceae.
AUUAAUUAUAGUAAGUUUAUUUUUUCUUUCUUUUAAAUUAGUUUUUCAUAAUUUGGAAAAUGAAUUAAGCUCCUGAUACUAAUGUGGUAACCCCUACAGUUACAAUAGUUUACGGUUACAAACAAAAUAAGAAGAAAGAAUUAGCAAUUAGCAACGGAAGCCUAACACGGAUCCAUCGGUGAGGGCGAUGACGACCCUGCACUCAGCUUUCGCCUCCACGUGGUGACUGAAAAGGUGCAACACUCUCACGCGCCCAGCUAUCUCUAUUUUCGACUCCAUCUCCAUAGUGGGCCCCACAUUGCUGGGACCAUUCACCAAGGUGGGCCCCGGGCCCAAGGGGAAGGACUGGACGGUGAACGUGGCGGCCAUGUACUGAGUCCUGCCGGCGGCGAUCUUGCCGGCGGGGACGAACAUGAAGCCGACCUGUGUGCCGUGGUAGAGAAGCUGGAGCGAGCUGUCGUAGUGCGAGAAGGUGCCACGGUUAGGGUUGCGGACGGAGGCGUACUGAGAGAAGGUGAAGUUGACGGUACCGUUAAUGGCGGAGAAGGAAGGGAUCUGGACGGCGCUGACGGCGAUUUUGGGAUCCUGAGGCUUGAACAGCGUGAAGUAAAGGAGGAAGACCACGAUGAGGAGGAAGAUCAGGAAAAUGGUGGCCACAAAACAGGAUGCCAGGUUCGUGCGGUUCUCGUGCUUCGCCAUGGCUCUGAGAGAGGAAGUAUCUAAGGGAUGUGAUGAAGAUGAUGAAUGCAACAAAUCAAAGCAUAACAAAACAAAACACAACAAAAGCCACGAGCACAUGGAGUGUGUGAAGAAAUUUGCAGCGUGUGAAGAGGGUUGGAUUAAGUUUAUUUAUUCGUUACGUGAUCUCAGGUAGUAGUGGGAGAUAGUUUCUCAAUACCAAAGGCCAUCUCGCACGGCUUUUUUACCAGACAUGAAUCAACAAGUGAGAAACCAAACACCAACGCAUAUAUGCAAGAAACACAUGGUGAUAUGCAGUGAAACUGUGAAGGAAAGAUGAAGAAUGUUUACCUUCUCUGGUAGACAGUAGCCAUG